Molecule: ribosomal RNA, 2154 nt
Filed under: Bacteroides fragilis
Lineage: Bacteria; Pseudomonadati; Bacteroidota; Bacteroidia; Bacteroidales; Bacteroidaceae
Description: partial 23S ribosomal RNA
Rfam family: Bacterial large subunit ribosomal RNA
Source: RNAcentral
AAGAAAGUAAAUAAGGGCGCAUGGCGGAUGCCUUGGCUCUCGGAGGCGAUGAAGGACGUGAUAAGCUGCGAUAAGCUUCGGGUAGGUGCAAAUGACCUUUGAUCCGAAGAUUUCCGAAUGGGACAACCCGGCAUUCUGAAGGAAUGUCAUCCAACUUGGUUGGAGGCUAACGCAGGGAACUGAAACAUCUUAGUACCUGCAGGAAAAGAAAAUAAAUAAUGAUUCCCCUAGUAGUGGCGAGCGAACGGGGAUUAGCCCAAACCACCCAUGUUACGGCAUGUGUGGGGUUGUAGGACCACGCUCUCGCAAGACAGUUAUUGAGAAGAAACGACUGGAAAGUCGUGCCAUAGACGGUGAUAGCCCGGUAUUCUAAGGUAACCGAAGCGUAGUGGUAUCCUGAGUAGCGCGGAGCACGAGGAAUUCUGCGUGAAUCAGCCGGGACCAUCCGGUAAGGCUAAAUACUCCCGAGAGACCGAUAGCGAACCAGUACUGUGAAGGAAAGGUGAAAAGCACUUCGAAUAGAAGAGUGAAAUAGUCCCUGAAACCAUGCGCCUACAAGCGGUCGGAGCAGCUUUAGCUGUGACGGCGUGCCUUUUGCAUAAUGAACCUACGAGUUACUUUUUCCGGCAAGGUUAAGCAUCUUGAGAUGUGGAUCCGAAGCGAAAGCGAGUCUGAACAGGGCGGAUAGUCGGAAGGAGUAGACGCGAAACCAAGUGAUCUACCCUUGGGCAGGUUGAAGGUUAGGUAACACUAACUGGAGGACCGAACCGAUAAGCGUUGAAAAGCUUCCGGAUGACCUGAGGGUGGGGGUGAAAGGCUAAUCAAACUUGGAGAUAGCUCGUACUCCCCGAAAUGCAUUUAGGUGCAGCCUUGAGAGUUACUAAUGUGAGGUAGAGCGACUGAUAAGAUGCGAGGGCUUCACCGCCUAUCAAGUCUUGAUAAACUCCGAAUGCGCAUUAGUUCUAUCUCAGGAGUGAGGGCAUGGGUGCUAAGGUCCAUGUCCUAAAGGAGAAGAAUCCAGACCAUCAGCUAAGGUCCCCAAAUAAACACUAAGUUGAACUAACGAAGUCAGAUUGCUAAGACAGCUAGGAUGUUGGCUUGGAAGCAGCCAUUCAUUUAAAGAGUGCGUAACAGCUCACUAGUCGAGGAGUUUGGCGUGGAUAAUAAUCGGGCAUUAAGUGUUUUACCGAAGCUAUGGGAUCCUAAUGGAUCGGUAGGGGAGCAUUCCACUCUGCGUUGAAGGCGAAGCGUGAGCUUUACUGGAGCGUGUGGAAAAGCAAAUGUAGGUAUAAGUAACGAUAAAGGGGGUGAGAAACCCCCUCGCCGCAAGACUAAGGUUUCCUGAUCAACGCUAAUCGGAUCAGGGUUAGUCGGGUCCUAAGGCUCAGCCGAACGGUGAGGCCGAUGGCAGAACAGGUUAAUAUUCCUGUACUACCUGUAGGAGUGAUGUGGAGACGGAGGAGUGACAACGCCGCGGACUGACGGAAUAGUCCGUUAAAGGGUGUAGAUGUUGAUUAUCCCAGGCAAAUCCGGGAUAAGAGUCGAACCUGACAGUAUACCAAUUUCCUCGGAAAACGGUAAUAGUGCGUGUAAACAUACUCCCAAGAAAAUCCGCUAAACUUAAUCUUACAGGUACCCGUACCGUAAACGGACACACGUAGUCGGGUUGAAUAUACUCAGGCGCUUGAGUGAAUCACGGUUAAGGAACUAGGCAAAUUGACCCUGUAACUUCGGGAUAAAGGGUCCCUACCCGGUGACGGGAGGGCGCAGAGAAUAGGUCCAGGCAACUGUUUAACAAAAACACAGGGCUGUGCAAAAUUGAAAGAUCACGUAUACAGCCUGACACCUGCCCGGUGCUGGAAGGUUAAGAGGAGAUGUCAUCGCAAGAGAAGCAUUGAAUUGAAGCCCCAGUAAACGGCGGCCGUAACUAUAACGGUCCUAAGGUAGCGAAAUUCCUUGUCGGGUAAGUUCCGACCUGCACGAAUGGUGUAAUGAUCUGGACACUGUCUCAACCGUGAGCUCAGUGAAAUUGUAGUAUCGGUGAAGAUGCCGAUUACCCGCGAUGGGACGAAAAGACCCCGUGAACCUUUACUAUAGCUUAACAUUGAAUUUGGGUAAUUGAUGUGUAGGAUAGGCCGGAGACUUUGAAGCAGG